RNAcentral lists this non-coding RNA (101 nucleotides) under Acetobacterium bakii. RNAcentral describes it as "Azaaromatic sequence". It matches the Rfam family "azaaromatic riboswitch aptamer (yjdF RNA)". Lineage: Bacteria; Bacillati; Bacillota; Clostridia; Eubacteriales; Eubacteriaceae. The record is from Rfam by way of RNAcentral.
AAUAUUAAAGAUAAAAACACAGUUCUGGUCGGUAGUCCAGACGCAGUUUUGUACUGUCAGUAACCUGCCUCCUAAGGUUGUCCAUUCUUUGUCAGUAUUUU